Molecule: long non-coding RNA, 1574 nt
Organism: Corvus hawaiiensis (hawaiian crow)
Lineage: Eukaryota; Metazoa; Chordata; Aves; Passeriformes; Corvidae
Exons: 4
Source: RefSeq, a predicted model, not a curated record
ACCCAAACCUGUACUUGCCUGCUUGAGGCUGAGGUGUUAAUCCAACACAGGGCACUUCCCACGGGACACUGUGGACAAUUAUUCAGCAGCAGUUUCUGCACUGCAGGACACGGUGUGCCUGACAGCAUGCUGUCCUGAUAGAAGGCUACCAAGUGAUUGUACUACAGCUUAUUCACAGGUUGGAAGCUGGAUGAUGGCUAUCUCUCUAUUCAUCUGAGCUUUGACACAACUGGACAAGAAAAACUAGAAAGCAACAUUUACAUGCCAACAUCUUUCCAAAAAUCUGGAAGGCGUGAUGGAGAAUUAGGAUCUAGUGAACAAAUCAAAAUGCCAGCCAAGCUCUUCCAGAAAUCUGGAUUUUCACAAAGAUGAGCAUGUAAUGAUAGUUUUGCAUUUGCCCAAAUAGUCAGCUUUUUCCACUCCAUUGUAUCCUACAGUCCCUCAUCUCCUCACUGAGCUGCUGCAGCUAAACAUUAGUUUUGUGUGAAGAUUUGCUGAGCAGUGAAAGAUAAAGCAGGCUGGAGAGAGGAGAAGAGAGCCCGGGAAUGCUAUUUGUGUGAUGUCAAAAGAGCACCAGAGUUUACUGUUAUCUCUGAUGAAAUGCUGAAGGGCAAGAUGGCAGCGUGUCUAAUCCUCAUGAGACAAGUUUCCUGGAACUGAACAGAAGACAAAGUGUGAAUAUCGCAGCUUCGUAAAACUGUGCCUGUUCUGUAGAAAAUCAGUCAGCAAUACAAAACGAUUGUUUAAGAAGGCAAUGUCUUGGCAUCUAUCUUAAGUUGCAUAUAAACAGUUCAAUCUUUCUCAACCUAGUUGUAGUUGCAGAAGCAAAACUGGGUAAUGAGAACAUUGUUUCGAAAUGGAAAUUAAUGAACGAGUUGCUUACUAAUCAGAGAGAUGUUUCUUUGCUGGCACAGAUAGACACCCUCUGGUUUCUUUCCCUUCUUGAAUGACUAUAAUAAUGGGACAAAAUAAAAGCUUUUACUUCAUAGAGAAAUACUAGCUCAGAACUACAUUGAAAGCCAGCAGAAGAAGAACAGGGUCUUGAAGGGCCUCCUGUCAACUUUCUCCCUGUUCAAGCUGAGUGAAGUAGCUACAAGCUGUCAGAUACAAGCAAUCAAACAACCAAAGGGACACCACAGCUCUAACUGGACAUGCUUAUAAUGAAAGGCUACACUUGAUGAACAAGUCUUUCAGAUUAGUCUUUGCUAUGCAAGUAUAUUGUAGAAAAAAAUUGGUACAAACAAGUUGAGGAAAAAAACUCAAGAGAGAAGAAGGUAAAUAAAACUGAGGUUUUGACUGUCCUAAGAGAUCAGGACUACAAAUGACGUAAAAGCCUUUUGCAUUUAUGUUUUAAUAUUCCUGGAUAACUACAAACUUGUGAAGAGUAGGAACCAAGAGUACCCAAGCAUGACCAGUGCAGCUGAAAAUAAAGUAUUAACCCUGGUGAUGUAUUUCAGAGUGAUCUGCUUUUCAGAGGAAGGUAUGUGGGGGGAUUUACUAAUACAAUAGAAAGGGAAAUAUUAUUAAAUUAUGUCUGAGGAAGAUAUUCUUCAUAUCUCUAAGGAGACUUAAUC